RNAcentral lists this unclassified non-coding RNA (248 nucleotides) under Glomeraceae sp. RNAcentral's name for it is "partial contains 5.8S ribosomal RNA and internal transcribed spacer 2". The stretch from base 1 to 65 matches the Rfam family "5.8S ribosomal RNA", at positions 84 to 154 of the family's 154-position model. The record is from RNAcentral. Lineage: Eukaryota; Fungi; Glomeromycota; Glomeromycetes; Glomerales; Glomeraceae.
GUGAAUCAUCAAAUUUUUGAACGCAAAUUGCACUCUCCUCGGAGAGUAUGCCUGUUUGAGGGUCAGCCUAUAAAAAAUCGACAUCGUUGCUGUUUCGCGGUGGCGUUCGUCGGAAAUUGGGUCAUCUUAAAUCUUUUGUUUUUAAUCGACUAAAAAUUUUCUUUUUGUUUCCAUGAACGUUUUUAAGUUUUAUUUCUUUACACGUUUAGGUUAUGGAUUUUUAUUAGACUUAACCAUCAUAUCGGAUC